GACGAACGCUGGCGGCGUGCUUAACACAUGCAAGUCGAACGGAAAGGCCCUGCUUUUGUGGGGUGCUCGAGUGGCGAACGGGUGAGUAACACGUGAGUAACCUGCCCUUGACUUUGGGAUAACUUCAGGAAACUGGGGCUAAUACCGGAUAGGAGCUCCUGCUGCAUGGUGGGGGUUGGAAAGUUUCGGCGGUUGGGGAUGGACUCGCGGCUUAUCAGCUUGUUGGUGGGGUAGUGGCUUACCAAGGCUUUGACGGGAAGCCGGCCUGAGAGGGUGAGCGGCCACAUGGGGACUGAGGGGCGGCCGAGGCUCGUAAGGGGGGGAAGGGGGGGAAAUUUUGCAAAAGGGACGGAGGCGGGGUGAAGAAAGCCCGCGGGGGGUAAAGCGCCUUUGGGGUUAAAAACCUCUUUGGCCUUGAACGAGGGGGGGGUGGGGGAAAUGGGAAAAAAAAGCGCGGGUAAACACGG
This 467-nucleotide ribosomal RNA is filed under the name uncultured bacterium. RNAcentral's name for it is "partial 16S ribosomal RNA". It matches the Rfam family "Bacterial small subunit ribosomal RNA", at positions 28 to 506 of the family's 1533-position model. The record is from RNAcentral.